RNAcentral lists this non-coding RNA (148 nucleotides) under Nomascus leucogenys (northern white-cheeked gibbon). Lineage: Eukaryota; Metazoa; Chordata; Mammalia; Primates; Hylobatidae. The record is from Rfam by way of RNAcentral.
GCUGGGCAUGGUGUUGCAUGCCUGUAAUCCCAGCUACUCAGGAGGCUGAGGCAGGAGAAUUGCUUGAACCCAGGAGGCAGAGGGUGCAGUGAGCUGAGAUUGUGUCACUGCACUCCAGCCUGGGCAACAGAGUGAGACUCUGUCUCAG